UUGGUUGAAACCAAAGUAGAGGUGUAUCACUGUUAAUGAUAAAAUUGAAGAUUACUUCCAAUCAAG
Molecule: transfer RNA, 66 nt
Filed under: Thalamita sima
Lineage: Eukaryota; Metazoa; Arthropoda; Malacostraca; Decapoda; Portunidae
Also listed under: 1 other name
Description: tRNA-Asn
Source: RNAcentral